Long non-coding RNA from Acinonyx jubatus (cheetah), 4468 nucleotides. RefSeq lists it as uncharacterized. The record is from RefSeq and is a predicted model, not a curated record. NCBI's taxonomy places the organism in Eukaryota, Metazoa, Chordata, Mammalia, Carnivora, Felidae. The transcript has 5 exons.
UUUUUACCCUGUGCUAUUUUCAAGUAACAUAUUAAGUUAAUUGAAAGGAAUCUAUUCAAAGUCCCCCCAACCUCCCAGCCAAGCUUACAGGUAAAACUCACAGGUGUCUGCACUUGGUCCUAACUCUGCUUUUUUAGGUCACAGGGCCUAUAUUCUCAGAAAACAGACCCCAACUACAGAACAUACUCUUCUCUAGUCAGACCACAACCCACAUCCUGGAGGAGCCCCAGACAGAGCAGCUUGAAAAACACGCCAUCUUCUACUCUACCUGGCCGAGAGUCGACCCUCUCUCCACACACUGUGUCCCCUCUCAACAUCCUUUAAAACCCCGUACAAGGCUCAGCCUGACAGAAACUCGUGGCCGACAUCUCUCUUGAUGUCUGGCCCCUCUCCUCCCUUAGAGAGUGAAUAAACUCUGUCCUGCUUGUCUGGACAUGCUUUGUGCAAUUCCCUAACAGCUUUGGUGGCCUGUAAGAGGACUGGCCAUUACCUACUGACCGGAAUCCAUCUCAACCAGAUCGCCUUCUCAACUUAUCUCAGAGAGAAAACUGCAGUGCUGCAAAUACAACUGAUUCAGCAUUAUGGUAUCUACCAAGUGCAAGCAAUCCCACUCUACGAGAGCACUACAAGCCUUCCAGAACUCAAACUUGUAAGAUAAGGAAACUGAAGCUCUGUCGUUCAUCUAAAGUUUCACCUAGGACCGGCUAAAGAAGAACUGGAAUGCAGAAUGAGGAGCUUAUGAGGUUCUCACCCUGGCUCCUCCCACCCAUGCUUGGAUUCAAACAAGUGGCCACUCACUAGCAUAUCCAAAUGGAUACCAGAGCCAUUUUCCAGACCUCAGGAGUCCUAUAGCCUUUCACCAGCCAAGCUAUGGUGCUGGUGCUGGUGCUGGAGCCAGAUAAAGAACCAAUUGCCCAAGUGAGCCUGGAAAUACACACAUGUCAUCUCUCUGGAGAGCAAAAUUGACACCAUGACUACUGUUCUGGGACUGCCCUUUAAAACCUUUGCUGAAUUUGUACUCCUGGUCUUUCUCAUGCCUGCUGAUGAAGAGAAGAGCUUCAGGGGUAGAGAUAGUCACAGGUGAGGUGAAAUGUGUGUGUUGGGGGUAGUGAGGAGAACAGAGUGGGAUUCAAUGGCUCUUCUGGAGUUCAUAGGAGCUCCUGUCAUCAGUUCUAGCCUGACUUCAGGGGGCUGGAGAAUCCCCCACAGCCAAUGAAGGGAUUGACUUCAAGGGGCGGUGAAUUACCCUGCUUGGUCAUGAGACCUCAGCUGAGCAAGCAGAACAAACUGAGGCAAGUAUGACAGAAGCUAAUCAGGGACUCAGGAAACCUGUCUUUCCUUCUUACUUCUCACUAACCAGUACCUCCCCCUGCCACACAUACAACCACACAUAUUCUCUUAAAAAAUACCCCAAGCCAUAAAGUGGUAAAUUUUAUGUUAUACGUAUUUUACUAUGAUUAAAAAGAAUCAUAUUUAGCCAACCUAGGUUAAAUAUUCUAUUCUCUGUCCUUAUUCCUAUGUCUAUGUAUUCCUCAGAACUGUAAUCCAAGCACUGUAAUCCACAUUAUUGCAUUAGAAUCACCUCAAUUUGUGAUAUAAUUUGUGAGUUUCCUAAAUGAGGGAUUACUGAUUUUUUCUUUUUCUUUCUGCUUUUUGUGGAAGUAUAACAUAUACACUGAAAAGUGCACAAAUCAUAAAUAUACAGUUCCAUAAAUUUUCAAAUGGCAAACACCUUCAUAUAACCAAAACCUAAAUGAAGAAACAGAAUGUCACUAGCACACCUUCCAGUCACUAGUUUCUCAAGGGUAAUUCCUAUUCAUAAAUUAAAAACAUAUAUUAAUUUCUCCUGCUUUUGAACUUGACAUAAAUGGAAUUGUAAGUAUGUAUUCUUUUUUUGUCUGGCUUCUUCCACUUAACAUUAUAUUUAUGAUAUUCAUCCUUACUAUUGUAUAGAGUUAUAGACUAUUUAUUCCCAUUGUUAUCUAAUACUCCUUUAUAUGAAUUCAUCAUGAUUUAUUUAUCCAUUCUAUUGUUGGUGGACAUUUGAAUUGUUUCUGGUUUUUAGCUAUUACAAAUAGUGUCACUAUGAGCAUUCUUGUAUAUAUGUUUUAGUGAACAUGUUUUUCUAGAAAUGCAAUUGCUGUCAUAGAGUAUGCACAUAUUCAGCUUGGAUAGAUAUUGUCAGACAUUUUUCCAAGGUGGUUGUAACCAAUUUACACUCCCACUAGCAAUGUGUGAGAGUUCUGUUUGCUCCAUAUCCUCACCAACACUUGGUGUUGUCUGUCUUCUUUAUUUUAGCCAUUCUGGUGUGAUGUGAACAGAUAUCCUGUUGUGCUCUUAAUUUGCAUUUUCCUGUUGAUUAGUGAAUGGAGUAUUUUUCAUAUAUUUAUUAGCCAUUUGGAUAUUCUAGGAAUUUUUUAAGGUUUUACUUUCCUGGUUAUUAAAGUAAUACAUGCUAAUUGAAGAAGGUAUGUCAAAUACAGAAAGGAAUCGUGGUGGCUUUGUACACGUCAAUUUAGUUAAAUUGGAACUACGUUUUUCAGAAUUUUUUUUCCCUAUCUGAUUCCAGGCUAGAUUUAGCCACAAGAAAAUUUGCAUAAAGGGUGCCUGGCUGGCUGAGUCCAUUAAGCAACUGACUCUUGGUUUGGGCUCAGGUCAUGAUCUAGUGGUUUCAUGAGUUGGAGCCCCACUGUGCUGACAGUGCAGAGCCUGCUUGAGAGUCUCUAUCUCCCUCUUUCUCUGCCCCUCCCCCACUCAUGCUGUGUCUCUCUUUUCUCUUUCUCUCUCAAAAUAAGUAAGUAAACUUAAAAAAAAAGUAAGUUUGCAUAAGACUUGCAGAAGUGAAGCAGCCAUGUUUAUGUUCAGAAGGUCUGCAUAAAGGCAGGCACCAUUGCAACUCAUACAUGUCUCAGAUCUGCUGGUUUACCUGUUGGCAUGGGAAGGCAACUGGACUCAUAGUUCCCACCACAUCUUGCCCUUCAACUUGUUCAACUCCUGGUCCAAAUGUGUGUUUAGCUCCAUGCCAAAGGUCCCAGCUCCUUUUGCAGGUCACUGACAUCACUGAGGUUGGAGGUGGUGGAGGCAGUGGGAGACAGAUGCAGGUUCCACUUCACCCUUCAGGGUGCCACAUUUUUCUUGCAAGUUCCAGUUUGCCCUCACUCUCCCAUACUUCAUGUCUCUUCAUUCUUCCUAGCUGCUACCCUCCUGACUUCAGGCCCAGCGCGACAAACAUAAGCAGCAAGUGCACAUAAGCUAUUUAACCAGCGCCCACAAUUACAUAACUUCAAAUCCCUUAUAAUAAACCACUGAUUCUAGGUCAUUCUUAGUAGUUAUGCAUCUCUAAUUAAACUCUGAUACAGGCAAUAAGAAGAAACAGACUUCACCUGUAAUCCCACAUCCCGAGUGGACCACUGUCAACAUCUCAGUCUGUAUUUUUCCUGCCUGGAGUAUUUUCAUUGAAGAGAAUGAGUUCUGGAGAGGUUAAGGACUGCUCAGGGCUCAACUGGUAGGUGGCAGAGCCCAGCCGUCAGAAAUCUGGUUUCAUUCACGCCAGUGAGGUGUUGCUUCCACUGUGUCUCAGAAUCCCUGAAUGACCCUUUACUCCUCCAGCUUUCUGGGGGCCCUCCAACUCUGAGCAUGAGCUCUGGGCUUGUGAGAACAGCUUUUGAACACAUUUUCCUGGGCUUUUCGGCCACCUGCUUUUACAGCUUCCCCAUUCUGUUCUGACCAAAUUACAGGAGUUCCACCUUUCUGUUCCUCUUCAGAAAAAGAAAAGUCUUUUAAAAUGAGAGUCAUGCUGUGUCAUCUACAUCUGGAGAACUGACUAAGAAGUGAUGGCCACCAGGGGGCCAAAGAGAGUCCUAAGGCCUUCCCUGCCCUGCCAAACACUGCUCCCCUGAAGUCUAGAGAUGGAGUACUUUGAUUUAAGCAUUACUGUCUUGAGAGUUCUUUUUUAAAAAAGAAGUACUCUUGAGAGAGGCAACACAUGACAUAAUUCUUCAGAAUGAAUGAUUUCCCAGAUGUAGUAGUAAGUGACAAAAGCUUUGGUAAGAGAGCAGGCUGGACAGGAGACAGCAGGAGGUGAAGUCAAAGACAAACUCCCUACUGUACGAUUUGGCCAAGAGUCUCCAGGACUCUGAGUUUUAUAAAACCAAGAGUCAACAACACUUUUCUGCUCAAACCUGAGACUUGGGCUUGAGAUCUGCUCCUCGCCUAGAGGGUGGAUCCUCUAGGACAGAUUCACUUCCCUGAGAACAGAACCAGAGAGAAGCAUCCAGAGAUGGAGAGCAAUUUAGAAACUAGUGACCUUUGGGGUGCCUGGCUGGCUCAGUCAGUAGGGCACGUGACUCUCAAUCUCACAGUCAUGAGUUCAAACCCCAAGUCCAAGUAGGGUAUGGAGCCUACUUAACAUACAUUUAAAAAGCAAAAUACAUUAAAAGAUAGAAAAAAAAUUCUGCUCUAGAAACUA